This 435-nucleotide ribosomal RNA is filed under the name uncultured bacterium. RNAcentral's name for it is "bacterial SSU rRNA". It matches the Rfam family "Bacterial small subunit ribosomal RNA", at positions 32 to 447 of the family's 1533-position model. The record is from RNAcentral.
AAUCAACGCUGGCGGCGUGCCUCAGACAUGCAAGUCGAACGCGAAAGUCCCCUUCGGGGGACAAGUAGAGUGGCGCACGGGUGAGUAACACGUAGGUAAUCUACCUUUGGAUGGGGAAUAACAACCGGAAACGGUUGCUAAUACCGCAUAAUGCAGCGGCACCUAAUGGUGACAGUUGUUAAAGCGGGGGAUCGAAAGACCUCGCGUCUGAAGAGGAGCCUGCGGCGGAUUAGCUAGNGGUAAGGUAAUGGCUUACCAAGGCUACGAUCCGUAACCGGCCUGAGAGGGCGGUCGGUCACACUGACACUGACAUACGGGUCAGACUCCUACGGGAGGCAGCAGUCGGGAAUUUUGGGCAAUGGGCGAAAGCCUGACCCAGCAACGCCGCGUGAAGGAUGAAAUCCCUCGGGAUGUAAACUUCGCAAGAACGGGAAG